This 458-nucleotide ribosomal RNA is filed under the name uncultured bacterium. RNAcentral's name for it is "partial 16S ribosomal RNA". It matches the Rfam family "Bacterial small subunit ribosomal RNA", at positions 338 to 795 of the family's 1533-position model. The record is from RNAcentral.
CCUACGGGAGGCAGCAGUGAGGAAUAUUGGUCAAUGGGCGAGAGCCUGAACCAGCCAAGUCGCGUGAGGGAGUACUGCCCUAUGGGUUGUAAACCUCUUUUGUCGGGGAGCAAAAGCCGGACGUGUCCGGCUGUGAGAGUACCCGAAGAAAAAGCAUCGGCUACCUCCGUGCCAGCAGCCGCGGUAAUACGGAGGAUGCGAGCGUUAUCCGGAUUUAUUGGGUUUAAAGGGUGCGCAGGCGGAUUUUUAAGUCAGCGGUAAAAUCGUGGGGCUCAACCCCAUCCAGCCGUUGAAACUGGGGAUCUAGAGUGUGCGAGAGGUAUGCGGAAUGCGUGGUGUAGCGGUGAAAUGCAUAGAUAUCACGCAGAACCCCGAUUGCGAAGGCAGCAUACCGGUGCACAACUGACGCUCAGGCACGAAAGCGUGGGUAUCGAACAGGAUUAGAUACCCCUGUAGUC